ACGCCGGUUCGAAGCAUUUCUUUCCCUAUUCAUUUAAGGUUCUGGAGCUUCUUCUCAAAACUGCGAACCCUAACCCCAAAUUUCAACCCAGAAACCUUCUCGCAAUGUUUAACGACCGCUACGAUCCCAGACAACACGAUGCCGGCUCUUAUCGUCAGCGCCGGAGUGAUUUGACGGGGCAGCCGCCGAUGGGGGUUCCGACUCAUGCUCCUGGUGGUGCCGAAGGCUACGAACGCGGUGCUCCAAUUCCAUAUGGAGGUCCUUCUGGGCAUCGUGAGACUGAACAUAGCGGUGGACGGGAUAGUGGAGGAAAAGGGUUUGGGAAAGGAUCAGGUAGUAGAGACUAUGUAGAUAGAAGAAGUGAUGGGAGAGGUUUUGGCUCCAGUAGGGAUUAUGAUCGUGGUGGAGAUAGGGGUGGUGCCCGUGAGGGCUUUGGCAGGGGGCGGGGUGGAGGUAGAGAUGGUCGUGGCUUUGAUGGAGGCCAUGGUGGUAGGCCAAGAGGGGAUGACUUGGAUAAUAUUUCUCUUCCGAAGCCAGAUUUCAGAGGGUUGAUUGCCUUUAAGAAAGAUUUUUAUGUCGAGAGUCCGUCUGUAAGGGCAAUGACUGAGCAAGAGGUCUCUAUGUUUCGUGCAAGGAAGGAAAUCACCAUUGAAGGCCGUGAUGUCCCUAAGCCAAUUAGGAUGUUUCAAGAAGCAAAUUUCCCUGAUUACUGCCUUGAAGUCAUAUCUAAAUUGGGUUUUGUGGAGCCGACUCCUAUUCAAUCACAAGGAUGGCCCAUGGCUUUAAAGGGUCGAGAUCUGAUUGGCAUAGCUGAGACUGGUUCUGGAAAGACUUUGGCAUAUUUGCUUCCUGCUUUUGUUCAUGUUAGUGCUCAGCCGAGGCUGGCACAUGGUGAAGGGCCAAUAGUUUUAGUGCUUGCACCUACAAGAGAGCUGGCUGUUCAGAUUCAAGAAGAAGCUGCCAAAUUUGGAUCAUAUGCGCACAUAAAAAGUACCUGUAUAUAUGGCGGUGCUCCUAAAGGGCCGCAAAUUCGCGACCUUAAAAGAGGUGUUGAAAUCGUCAUUGCUACACCCGGAAGAUUAAUUGAUAUGCUGGAAGCUCAGCAUACUAACUUGAGAAGAGUUACGUAUCUCGUGUUAGAUGAGGCUGAUCGCAUGCUUGAUAUGGGUUUUGAACCCCAAAUUAGAAAAAUUAUUUCUCAGAUCCGACCUGAUAGGCAAACCUUGUACUGGAGUGCUACAUGGCCAAGGGAGGUUGAAUCUUUAGCAAGACAAUUCCUGCAAAAUCCAUACAAGGUUACCAUUGGAUCUCCAGAUCUGAAAGCGAAUCAAUCUAUACAACAAGUUAUUGAAGUUAUUACCGAUAUGGAGAAGUAUAACAGAUUGAUCAAAUUGCUGAAGGAUGUGAUGGAUGGGAGUAAAAUUUUAAUUUUUGUGGAGACAAAGAAAGGAUGUGAUCAAGUCACUCGACAGUUAAGAAUGGAUGGAUGGCCGGCUUUGUCCAUUCAUGGUGAUAAAAGCCAGGAUGAGAGGGAUUGGGUCCUGGCCGAGUUUAAAACUGGCAGGAGUCCUGUAAUGAUUGCCACUGAUGUGGCUGCUCGUGGCCUUGGUAGGAUAAGUCUUACAGUUUAGGGUUUAGCAUAUCUUGUUUUGGAUCUUACAACUGCGUAGGCAAGUCUUCCGGCUGUUCUCCAUGUUCCUGAAGAAGUUGUGGGUUGGGCACAAAUGCUUUUCCUGUAGUGUCCUAUAUCUGAUCACAACCAUUUUGUUGUGUCUGACGGGAGUUUCUUUAUGCGUCACAGAAGGGAGGAUAUACAGUACCUAACCUUAAACAUUUUGAUCCUGAACCCUAAACCUUCCAUACCUUGAAAAUUUGGUGUCUAAACACAAAGCCUUCAUGACCUCUGAAGCUUGGUGUGCUAACCUUGUCAUGACCUAGAAAUAGGUCGGAGAUUUGACCAUUAGUUGGGAGGUUGCUUUAUAUCGGGAAGAUAAGAGUCAAUUUGAUCUACUUUUCCCUAAGGUCUAUUUACCUUAUACAUCCUUAUUGGGGGUGGCAUUUUCUUCUGACCCAAAAACAUAAAGGUAACACAGAAGUAAUGGGUCUGGAUUUGGAUGUUUCGGUUUGAUUCAAAAUCAGGCUUAGCGUAAUAAAUCCCAAAGACAAUAGAUGUGAAGGACAUUAAAUGUGUUGUCAACUAUGACUUUCCGUCGUGCCUUGAGGAUUAUGUUCACAGGAUUGGCCGAACUGGUCGUGCUGGAGCCAAAGGAACUGCUUUCACAUUUUUUACACAUGGAAAUGCCAAGUAUGCAAGGGGACUAAUUAAGAUAUUGCAACAAGCACGACAAGUUGUACCUCCGCAACUUUCUGCUUUGGCUCGAUCUGGUCCUAGUUCGGGGG
Molecule: RNA transcript, 2400 nt
Organism: Andrographis paniculata
Lineage: Eukaryota; Viridiplantae; Streptophyta; Magnoliopsida; Lamiales; Acanthaceae
Gene name: DEAD-box ATP-dependent RNA helicase 20
Exons: 9
Source: RefSeq, a predicted model, not a curated record